This 63-nucleotide transfer RNA is filed under the name Sphaerodactylus townsendi. RNAcentral describes it as "tRNA-Ala". The record is from RNAcentral. Lineage: Eukaryota; Metazoa; Chordata; Lepidosauria; Squamata; Sphaerodactylidae.
GGGAUUGUGUCUCAGUGGUAGAGCAUCUGCUUUGCAUGCAGAUGUUCCAAAAUUCAACCCCCA